GACUUGUAAAUUACUUGGUCGUCUUUAGGUUUUAGGCCAUUUAGGUGACGGAAGCACCCCGACAAUGGAAAUAGUGAAAAGCUUUUCAAAGCGGAAACUUGUUUUUCAAACUUACCCAUCCAGUUGAUUGAGCAGCAUCCGCAGCGGCAGCAACGGGAAAGACGAACCGCGCGCCACCCGCCGGCUCGAGCUUCCGGCGCUCAGCUCGGCUCCGCUGCAGCUCUGCGCUGAGAAAAAGGGAACUUCCGCCGGGCAUGCUGAAGUCUCGGUCGUCUUGAGAUGCUUGACUGCCCUACGUCUGGAAGGAGGCCGACAGCCUGUUGUCAGAAGCAGGACCUGA
This 340-nucleotide long non-coding RNA is filed under the name Felis catus (domestic cat). RNAcentral describes it as "lncRNA (ENSFCAG00000051293.1)". The record is from RNAcentral. Lineage: Eukaryota; Metazoa; Chordata; Mammalia; Carnivora; Felidae.